AACAGGAUUAGAUACCCUGGUAGUCCACGCCGUAAACGAUGUCGACUUGGAGGUUGUUCCCUUGAGGAGUGGCUUCCGGAGCUAACGCGUUAAGUCGACCGCCUGGGGAGCACGGCCGCAAGGUUAAAACUCAAAUGAAUUGACGGGGGCCCGCACAAGCGGUGGAGCAUGUGGUUUAAUUCGAUGCAACGCGAAGAACCUUACCUACUCUUGACAUCCAGAGAACUUAGCAGAGAUGCUUUGGUGCCUUCGGGAACUCUGAGACAGGUGCUGCAUGGCUGUCGUCAGCUCGUGUUGUGAAAUGUUGGGUUAAGUCCCGCAACGAGCGCAACCCUUAUCCUUUGUUGCCAGCGAUUCGGUCGGGAACUCAAAGGAGACUGCCGGUGAUAAACCGGAGGAAGGUGGGGAUGACGUCAAGUCAUCAUGGCCCUUACGAGUAGGGCUACACACGUGCUACAAUGGCGCAUACAAAGAGAAGCGACCUCGCGAGAGCAAGCGGACCUCACAAAGUGCGUCGUAGUCCGGAUCGGAGUCUGCAACUCGACUCCGUGAAGUCGGAAUCGCUAGUAAUCGUGGAUCAGAAUGCCACGGUGAAUACGUUCCCGGGCCUUGUACACACCGCCCGUCACACCAUGGGAGUGGGUUGCAAAAGAAGUAGGUAGCUUAACCUUCGGGAGGGCGCUUACCACUUUGUGAUUCAUGACUGGGGUGAAGUCGUAACAAGGUAACC
Molecule: ribosomal RNA, 730 nt
Filed under: uncultured bacterium
Lineage: Bacteria
Description: bacterial SSU rRNA
Rfam family: Bacterial small subunit ribosomal RNA
Source: RNAcentral